CAGUCGAACGAGAGAAGAGAAGCUUGCUUUUCUGAUCUAGUGGCGGACGGGCGUGUAACACGUGAGCAAUCUGCCUUUCAGAGGGGGAUACCCCUUGGAAACGAUCGUUAAUACCGCAUAACAUAAUUGAACCGCAUGAUUUGAUUAUCAAAGAUUUAUCGCUGAAAGAUGAGCUCGCGUCUGAUUAGCUAGUUGGUAAGGUAACGGCUUACCAAGGCGACGAUCAGUAGCCGGACUGAGAGGUUGAUCGGCCACAUUGGGACUGAGACACGGCCCAGACUCCUACGGGAGGCAGCAGUGGGGAAUAUUGCACAAUGGAGGAAACUCUGAUGCAGCGAUGCCGCGUGAGGGAAGAAGGUUUUAGGAUUGUAAACCUCUGUCUUCAGGGACGAAAAAAGACGGUACCUGAGGAGGAAGCUCCGGCUAACUACGUGCCAGCAGCCGCGGUAAUACGUAUGGAGCAAGCGUUAUCCGGAUUUACUGGGUGUAAAGGGAGUGUAGGUGGUAUCACAAGUCAGAAGUGAAAGCCCGGGGCUCAACCCCGGGACUGCUUUUGAAACCGUGGAACUGGAGUGCAGGAGAGGUAAGUGGAAUUCCUAGUGUAGCGGUGAAAUGCGUAGAUAUUAGGAGGAACACCAGUGGCGAAGGCGGCUUACUGGACUGUAACUGACACUGAGGCUCGAAAGCGUGNGGAGCAAACAGGAUUAGAUACCCUNGUAGUCCACGCCGUAAACGAUGAAUACUAGGUGUCGGGGCUCAUAAGAGC
RNAcentral lists this ribosomal RNA (766 nucleotides) under uncultured bacterium. RNAcentral's name for it is "bacterial SSU rRNA". It matches the Rfam family "Bacterial small subunit ribosomal RNA", at positions 59 to 838 of the family's 1533-position model. The record is from RNAcentral.